UGCCAGCCGCCGCGGUAAUACGGAGGGUCCAAGCGUUAUCCGGAUUUAUUGGGUUUAAAGGGUGCGCAGGCGGAACUUUAAGUCAGUGGUGAAAUCUUGCCGCUUAACGGUAAAAUUGCCAUUGAAACUGAAGUUCUUGAAUGUAGUUGAGGUAGGCGGAAUGUGUUGUGUAGCGGUGAAAUGCAUAGAUAUGACACAGAACGCCAAUUGCGAAGGCAGCUUACUAAGCUACGAUUGACGCUGAGGCACGAAAGCGUGGGGAGCGAACAGGAUUAGAUA
RNAcentral lists this ribosomal RNA (279 nucleotides) under uncultured bacterium. Its description in RNAcentral is "partial 16S ribosomal RNA". It matches the Rfam family "Bacterial small subunit ribosomal RNA", at positions 506 to 784 of the family's 1533-position model. The record is from RNAcentral.